Amblyraja radiata (thorny skate) is the source of this 271-nucleotide long non-coding RNA. RefSeq lists it as uncharacterized. The transcript has 3 exons. The record is from RefSeq and is a predicted model, not a curated record. NCBI's taxonomy places the organism in Eukaryota, Metazoa, Chordata, Chondrichthyes, Rajiformes, Rajidae.
AGCCGCCCUCCACGGCUGUUGUGGUUUGCACAACUCUCGGAAUCCUCCUCAUCGCUGAAUUUGUCACACUGGUGAUAAUAGCUCGGAGGCAAUCAGCAAGAAGAGAUGCAGAGAUGAGAGGCGGGGGCUUUGGCUUUUACGAAGCAAUUUAUGAAGAGAUUGACGAUACUCUUCCUGGAAACAAGUUCAGUCAGAUGGAUGAUUCAAUCUCUGGAUCCAUUGAUUCCAUGAAUCAAAUAGAAUAUUACACCAGCGACCCUCUGGGUAGUGC